GUGAAAUGACUUAUGAGGUGUAGUAUAAGUGGGAGCUUCGGCGCACCUGAAAUACCACUACUCGUAAUGUUGUUUUACUUAUCUCAUGACGAUACACCCAGCCGUCUUCACGGGCGCCUGGUUCUAGAAUUAAGUCUACUUGUUAGGCGAGUAUCGUGGGAGACAACGUCAGGUGGGGAGUUUGGCUGGGGCGGCACAUCUGU
RNAcentral lists this ribosomal RNA (203 nucleotides) under Heterosigma akashiwo. RNAcentral's name for it is "partial Eukaryotic large subunit ribosomal RNA". It matches the Rfam family "Eukaryotic large subunit ribosomal RNA", at positions 2441 to 2642 of the family's 3401-position model. Lineage: Eukaryota; Raphidophyceae; Chattonellales; Chattonellaceae. The record is from RNAcentral.